GAUGAACGCUAGCGGCGGGCUUAAUACAUGCAAGUCAAGGGGUAGCAAUACACCGGCGUACGGGUGCGUAACGCGUAUGGAACCUGCCCUUAUCUGGGGGAUAACUCGGGGAAACUCGAGCUAAUACCGCAUAAGAUAGUAGAAUGGCAUCAUUCAGCUAUUAAAGAUUUAUCGGAUAAGGAUGGCCAUGCGUAAGAUUAGAUAGUUGGCGAGGUAACGGCUCACCAAGUCUACGAUCUUUAGGGGCUCUGAGAGGAGAAUCCCCCACACUGGCACUGAGAUACGGGCCAGACUCCUACGGGAGGCAGCAGUAGGGAAUAUUGGGCAAUGGGCGGAAGCCUGACCCAGCCACGCCGCGUGCAGGAUGACGGCCCUCUGGGUUGUAAACUGCUUUUAACUGGGAAGAAGAAGCCUAUGUGUAGGAAGUUGACGGUACCAGUUGAAUAAGCCACGGCUAACUACGUG
This 465-nucleotide ribosomal RNA is filed under the name uncultured bacterium. RNAcentral describes it as "bacterial SSU rRNA". It matches the Rfam family "Bacterial small subunit ribosomal RNA", at positions 28 to 507 of the family's 1533-position model. The record is from RNAcentral.